GCAAUCUACCUUUUACAGGGGGAUAGCCCAGAGAAAUUUGGAUUAAUACCCCAUAGUAUAGUGAGUUGGCAUCAACACACUAUUAAAGUCACAACGGUAAAAGAUGAGCAUGCGUCCCAUUAGCUAGUUGGUAAGGUAACGGCUUACCAAGGCUACGAUGGGUAGGGGUCCUGAGAGGGAGAUCC
RNAcentral lists this ribosomal RNA (185 nucleotides) under uncultured Bacteroidota bacterium. RNAcentral describes it as "uncultured Bacteroidetes bacterium partial 16S ribosomal RNA". It matches the Rfam family "Bacterial small subunit ribosomal RNA", at positions 121 to 306 of the family's 1533-position model. Lineage: Bacteria; Pseudomonadati; Bacteroidota. The record is from RNAcentral.